Oncorhynchus keta (chum salmon) is the source of this 1670-nucleotide long non-coding RNA. RefSeq lists it as uncharacterized. Lineage: Eukaryota; Metazoa; Chordata; Actinopteri; Salmoniformes; Salmonidae. The record is from RefSeq and is a predicted model, not a curated record. The transcript has 3 exons.
UAUACGUAGGACACGAGGCAUCCCGACACUAUCUGGGAGUUGUGAUUAGGUCGUUGUGAGUGGACUGAUAUACGUAGGACACGAGGCAUCCCGACACUAUCUGGGAGUUGUGAUUAGGUCGUUGUGAGUGGACUGAUAUACGUAGGACACGAGGCAUCCCGACACUAUCUGGGAGUUGUGAUUAGGUCGUUGUGAGUGGACUGAUAUACGUAGGACACGAGGCAUCCCAACACUAUCUGGGAGUUGUGAUCUGGUCGUUAUGAGUGGACUGAUAUACGUAGGACACGAGGCAUCCCAACACUAUCUGGGAGGUGUGAUUAGGUCGUUAUGAGUGGACUGAUAUACGUAGGACACGAUGCAUCCCGACACUAUCUGGGAGUUGUGAUUAGGUCGUUAUGAGUGGACUGAUAUACGUAGGACACGAGGCAUCCCGACACUAUCUGGGAGUUGUGAUUAGGUCGUUGUGAGUGGACUGAUAUACGUAGGACACGAGGCAUCCCGACACUAUCUGGGAGUUGUGAUUAGGUCGUUAUGAGUGGACUGAUAUACGUAGGACACGAGGCAUCCCAACACUAUCUGGGAGUUGUGAUUAGGUCGUUAUGAGUGGACUGAUAUACGUAGGACACGAGGCAUCCCAACACUAUCUGGGAGUUGUGAUUAGGUCGUUAUGAGUGGACUGAUAUACGUAGGACACGAGGCAUCCCGACACUAUCUGGGAGUUGUGAUUAGGUCGUUAUGAGUGGACUGAUAUACGUAGGACACGAGGCAUCCCAACACUAUCUGGGAGUUGUGAUUAGGUCGUUAUGAGUGGACUGAUAUACGUAGGACACGAGGCAUCCCGACACUAUCUGGGAGUUGUGAUUAGGUCGUUAUGAGUGGACUGAUAUACGUAGGACACGAGGCAUCCCAACACUAUCUGGGAGUUGUGAUUAGGUCGUUAUGAGUGGACUGAUAUACGUAGGACACGAGGCAUCCCAACACUAUCUGGGAGUUGUGAUUAGGUCGUUAUGAGUGGACUGAUAUACGUAGGACACGAGGCAUCCCAACACUAUCUGGGAGUUGUGAUUAGGUCGUUAUGAGUGGACUGAUAUACGUAGGACACGAGGCAUCCCGACACUAUCUGGGAGUUGUGAUUAGGUCGUUGUGAGUGGACUGAUAUACGUAGGACACGAGGCAUCCCGACACUAUCUGGGAGUUGUGAUUAGGUCGUUGUGAGUGGACUGAUAUACGUAGGACACGAGGCAUCCCAACACUAUCUGGGAGUUGUGAUUAGGUCGUUAUGAGUGGACUGAUAUACGUAGGACACGAGGCAUCCCAACACUAUCUGGGAGUUGUGAUUAGGUCGUUAUGAGUGGACUGAUAUACGUAGGACACGAGGCAUCCCAACACUAUCUGGGAGUUGUGAUUAGGUCGUUAUGAGUGGACUGAUAUACGUAGGACACGAGGCAUCCCAACACUAUCUGGGAGUUGUGAUUAGGUCGUUAUGAGUGGACUGAUAUACGUAGGACACGAGGCAUCCCGACACUAUCUGGGAGUUGUGAUUAGGUCGUUAUGAGUGGACUGAUAUACGUAGGACACGAGGCAUCCCAACACUAUCUGGGAGUUGUGAUUAGGUCGUUGUGAGUGGACUGAUAUACGUAGGACACGAUGCAUCCCAACACUAUCUGGGA